RNAcentral lists this ribosomal RNA (478 nucleotides) under uncultured bacterium. RNAcentral's name for it is "partial 16S ribosomal RNA". It matches the Rfam family "Bacterial small subunit ribosomal RNA", at positions 28 to 507 of the family's 1533-position model. The record is from RNAcentral.
GAUGAACGCUGGCGGCGUGCUUAACACAUGCAGGUCGAACGGGAAUUAUUUUAUUGAAACUUCGGUCGAUUUAAUUUAAUUCUAGUGGCGGACGGGUGAGUAACGCGUGGGUAACCUGCCUUAUACAGGGGGAUAACAGCCAGAAAUGGCUGCUAAUACCGCAUAAGCGCACAGAGCUGCAUGUCUCAGUGUGAAAAACUCCGGUGGUAUAAGAUGGACCCGCGUUGGAUUAGCUUGUUGGCAGGGUAACGGCCUACCAAGGCGACGAUCCAUAGCCGGCAUGAGAGGGUGAACGGCCACAUUGGGACUGAGACACGGCCCAGACUCCUACGGGAGGCAGCAGUGGGGAAUAUUGCACAAUGGGGGAAACCCUGAUGCAGCGACGCCGCGUGAAGGAAGAAGUAUCUCGGUAUGUAAACUUCUAUCAGCAGGGAAGAUAGUGACGGUACCUGACUAAGAAGCCCCGGCUAACUACGUG